GCUACCAUGCAGUCGGACGGUAGCACAGAGGAGCUUGCUCCUCGGGUGACGAGUGGCGGACGGGUGAGUAAUGUCUGGGGAUCUGCCCGAUAGAGGGGGAUAACCACUGGAAACGGUGGCUAAUACCGCAUAAUGUCGCAAGACCAAAGAGGGGGACCUUCGGGCCUCUCACUAUCGGAUGAACCCAGAUGGGAUUAGCUAGUAGGCGGGGUAAUGGCCCACCUAGGCGACGAUCCCUAGCUGGUCUGAGAGGAUGACCAGCCACACUGGAACUGAGACACGGUCCAGACUCCUACGGGAGGCAGCAGUGGGGAAUAUUGCACAAUGGGCGCAAGCCUGAUGCAGCCAUGCCGCGUGUAUGAAGAAGGCCUUCGGGUUGUAAAGUACUUUCAGCGGGGAGGAAGGCGGC
This 409-nucleotide ribosomal RNA is filed under the name uncultured bacterium. RNAcentral describes it as "bacterial SSU rRNA". It matches the Rfam family "Bacterial small subunit ribosomal RNA", at positions 48 to 455 of the family's 1533-position model. The record is from RNAcentral.